RNAcentral lists this ribosomal RNA (1173 nucleotides) under Convexana sp. 1 JW-2022a. Its description in RNAcentral is "16S ribosomal RNA". Lineage: Eukaryota; Metazoa; Arthropoda; Insecta; Hemiptera; Cicadellidae. The record is from RNAcentral.
UUUUAAAAUAAUUAUAAUUGUUAUUAUUUAAUUUCUAAGUAUUUUAAAAAAAUUAUUUUUUAUUUGUUUUUGAAAAUUAAUUUAAUUAAAGUUUUGAAAGUAUUAUUUAUUACCUUUUGUAUCAGGGUUUAUUAAAUAUUUAAAUUUAUUUUAUUUUCCCGAAUUAAAAAGAUUUAAAUUUUUAAGUGUUAAUUGUUGCAUAAAUUUUUUUAAUAUAAUUUUAGUAGUUAAAAGUUAGUCGAUUUUUAGUUUAUCUGGUUACUUAAUAUUUAAUAAAAUUAUAGAUUUAUGUUUUUUAUUUUUAAAAUUUAUAAUUCUAAUCUUGUUAUGGAUAAUCUUAACAUUUAAUUUUCAAUAUUAUUUAUUUUAUUCUUUAUAUUUUUUAAAUUUUAAAUUUAAGUUUUUAAUAAAUUAAAAUUUUUAAGUUAAAAUAUUAUAUUUAUUAAUUUUUUUAUUGAGUUUUUAAAUUUAAUUUAAUUUUUUUUUUAAUAUUGAUAAAAUUAGUAUAAUUAUUAUUUAAUUUUUAAUUAAUUCGACAAUAUUUAUUUUCAACUGUUUAUCAAAAACAUUUCUUUAAGUUUAUUUUUAAAGUAGUUCCUGCUCAAUGAUGAUUUAAAUAGCUGCAGUAAUUUGACUGUACAAAGGUAGCAUAAUAAUUAGUUUUUUAAUUGAAAGCUGGAAUGAAUGGAUUAAUGAGAAAUACAUUUUAUUAAUUUUAUUUUUAAAAUUUAAUUUUUAAGUAAAAAAGCUUAAAUAUAUUUUUAUGACGAAAAGACCCUAUAGAACUUUUUAUAAAGUUAUAUUUUAUUGGUAAAAUUUAAUUUAACUAUAUAUUUUGUUGGGGUGACAGAUAAAUUUAUACUUUAUUUUUUUUGAAUCAUUAAUUUAUGUAUAAAUGAUCUAUAAUUUUAAUUAAAAGUUUAAGUUACCUUAGGGAUAACAGCGUAAUUUUAGUGGGGAGUUCUUAUUUAUACUAAAGUUUGCGACCUCGAUGUUGAAUUAAGAUAAAUAUAUGGGGUAGGUUCUUUAUUGUUUAAGUCUGUUCGACUUUUAAAUUCUUACAUGAUUUGAGUUCAAACCGGUGUGAGCCAGGUUGGUUUCUAUCUGAAUAGAAAAAUAUUUUUUUAGUACGAAAGGACCAAAAAAUACGAUAUUUAUUGUUAAAUAUUAAAU